RNAcentral lists this long non-coding RNA (666 nucleotides) under Fukomys damarensis (Damara mole-rat). Its description in RNAcentral is "lncRNA (ENSFDAG00000029484.1)". The record is from RNAcentral. Lineage: Eukaryota; Metazoa; Chordata; Mammalia; Rodentia; Bathyergidae.
CCGCCGUGACCGUCACCUCUCGCACGUCCCUUUUUCCCCCUUACCCUUCACUCCGGCGCCCGCAGGAGAAAACUGCGGGCCAAGGGACAUCCCGCCCUCACCGGAGGCUGUUGCCCCCAGGGCAAAGCUUCGGGAAGACUGGCCGAAAAUAAGACGAGAACAGCCCCCCUUUCCUGUAGAAAGGGCCCCAGACUCCGGCAAAAGGGCCCCCACUGCUGAGAAGCCCCUCCUGCCCUUGCCUCAUCUUUCCGACUUUCCUGCCUGCCACGUCUCCUUUCCUUUCAAGCAAGGUCCUGCUUUCUUUCCUGGGAGUGGACAGGUUGCCACCCCACACCACCCCCAUCAACUGAAUUCUAGAUCCCAGGAACUCUGCCCCACUGGACAAGGUAAAGGGCACGGUUCUCAGGGGAGGGACACCAAGGCAACAACUGAAUUCGAUGCAGCACUCGCCCCCUCCCCCAUCAUAGGAAGCCCCCGGGCAUGGGGGAAUAAAGAAAGCUGGACUUUUAUAGUCCUUUUGCUGUGACCCACUCUCUUAAAGGGAUUGGAACACCCCUCCUUAAAGGGAUCUCCAGAAAUUAUUUGCCCCCAGGCAAAACCAAGUACUGCUGGAGCACCCCCCUACACGAGGCAGAAGUGCUCCCCCUGUUUCUGAGCAGAGGAGCA